GAUGAACGCUAGCUACAGGCUUAACACAUGCAAGUCGAGGGGCAGCAUUUCUUAGCAAUAAGAAGAUGGCGACCGGCGCACGGGUGAGUAACACGUAUCCAACCUACCAUUUACUUGGGGAUAGCCUUUCGAAAGAAAGAUUAAUACCCAAUGGCAUAGUUUUUCCGCAUGGUUUAACUAUUAAAGAAUUUCGGUAAUUGAUGGGGAUGCGUUCCAUUAGAUUGUUGGUGAGGUAACGGCUCACCAAGUCUUCGAUGGAUAGGGGUUCUGAGAGGAAGGUCCCCCACAUUGGAACUGAGACACGGUCCAAACUCCUACGGGAGGCAGCAGUGAGGAAUAUUGGUCAAUGGGCGAGAGCCUGAACCAGCCAAGUAGCGUGAAGGAUGAAGGCUCUAUGGGUCGUAAACUUCUUUUAUAAAGGAAUAAAGUGAGCCACGUGUGGCUUUUUGUAUGUACUUUAUGAAUAAGGAUCGGCUAACUCCGUGCCAGCCGCCGCCGUACAC
Molecule: ribosomal RNA, 503 nt
Filed under: uncultured bacterium
Lineage: Bacteria
Description: bacterial SSU rRNA
Rfam family: Bacterial small subunit ribosomal RNA
Source: RNAcentral